CAAGGUUCACACAUUACAAAUGAGUCAGUCUUCAGGAAAAAUGGACAGUAAAAAACAUGCAGGGAACAUCAACAGCAUGAUUGAAAGGAGAAACUAAAUAAAACUAAUAAGAUGGCAAAGCCGGGGUACACACCAUGGGAUUUGAGAAAUUAAUGAAAUUGGAAUCUGCUGAAGAUCAAAAUAACGGCACAAGGCAUAGAUGAUCCAAAGGGAAACCCGAAAAAGACCCCACACUGUCUCGGUUCUACAUGGCAACCAAAAAUGACUGGAAUGUGCAGCAGAAAUUCCAGUGACUCCAUUUUUGCCUGUGCCCAGAUGAACUUUCUCCUUGAUGAGUUUUGCCUUAUGCAGGGAUUGAGAGGAGUUGUACCAUCCAACCCAGAGAGCCAAAGUGUUGGAAGAGCUAUAUCCUGAUCAAAAUGAAAGCAUUGGCUCGAAACUUUUUUCUGGUGGCCUAGAAUAUGUCAGCAGAGUUAGCAGCUCUCCAGGCACUGCUCAGGAUGUUAACACGUCCAGAAGGUGCAAAGAGCAGCGCCUCUCCAUCCCUGGGAAUGGCCUGCAUUGUCCUGGCUGAGGACUCAUGUUGGCAUUGCCGGACCAUUCAUGGAUCCAAAUUUCUUGGUAGUAGUGGAUGCAGAUACAAAGUGGCCAGAAGUGUUCCCAAUAGCCUCCUCUACAGCUUUGCACACUGUUGUUGUGUUGAGAAGCCUCUUCUGACGCUCUGGUGUUCCAAAACACUUAGUUAGUGACAAUGGACCAGAGUUUGUUGCGGAACUGUUUCAGUCAUUCUUGAAAAUGAAUGGAUUAAGACACAUUACAUCUGCCAUGUAUCACCAAGCUACAAAUGGCUUGGCAGAAAGUUUUGUCCAGAGUCUACAGUGCGCACUGCAGACAAUGUCAGCAGAACACACUACACUAACACUGAAUCAGAAGCUGACCAAUUUCCUCCUUGCAUAUCACAAUGUAGCAAACUGCACAAAAAAAUCACCAGCUAUGCUGUUCCUGGGUCGUCCCUUACACUCACGCUUGGAUCUUGUCAAAUCCAUUCUCAGGGAGGGUAUGCAGAACAAACA
Molecule: long non-coding RNA, 1073 nt
Organism: Mobula hypostoma (lesser devil ray)
Lineage: Eukaryota; Metazoa; Chordata; Chondrichthyes; Myliobatiformes; Myliobatidae
Exons: 3
Source: RefSeq, a predicted model, not a curated record